RNAcentral lists this ribosomal RNA (383 nucleotides) under uncultured bacterium. RNAcentral describes it as "bacterial SSU rRNA". It matches the Rfam family "Bacterial small subunit ribosomal RNA", at positions 30 to 414 of the family's 1533-position model. The record is from RNAcentral.
AUUGAACGCUGGCGGCAUGCCUUACACAUGCAAGUCGAACGGCAGCACGGGAGCAAUCCUGGUGGCGAGUGGCGAACGGGUGAGUAAUAUAUCGGAACGUGCCCAGUCGUGGGGAUAACGUAGCGAAAGCUACGCUAAUACCGCAUACGAUCUAUGGAUGAAAGCGGGGGAUCGCAAGACCUCGCGCGAUUGGAGCGGCCGAUAUCAGAUUAGGUAGUUGGUGAGGUAAAGGCUCACCAAGCCGACGAUCUGUAGCUGGUCUGAGAGGACGACCAGCCACACUGGGACUGAGACACGGCCCAGACUCCUACGGGAGGCAGCAGUGGGGAAUUUUUGGACAAUGGCGCAAGCCUGAUCCAGCAAUGCCGCGUGCAGGAUGAAGG